GACGAACGCUGGUGGCGUGCCUAAUACAUGCAAGUCGAGCGGACCAAUAGAAGCUUGCUUCUGUUGGUUAGCGGCGGACGGGUGAGUAACACGUGGGCAACCUGCCUGUAAGACUGGGAUAACUUCGGGAAACCGGAGCUAAUACCGGAUAAUUCAUCCCCUCGCAUGAGGGGAUGCUGAAAGUCGGUUUACGCUGACACUUACAGAUGGGCCCGCGGCGCAUUAGCUAGUUGGUGAGGUAAUGGCUCACCAAGGCGACGAUGCGUAGCCGACCUGGGAGGGUGAUCGGCCACACUGGGACGGGGACACGGCCCAGACUCCUACGGGAGGCAGCAGUAGGGAAUCGUCCACAAUGGACGAAAGUCUGAUGGAGCAACGCCGCGUGAGCGAUGAAGGCCUUCGGGUCGUAAAGCGCUGUUGUUAGGGAAGAACAAGUAUCGGAGUAACUGCCGGUACCUUGACGGUACCUAACCAGAAAGCCACGGCUAACUACGUGCCAGCAGCCGCCGUAA
RNAcentral lists this ribosomal RNA (512 nucleotides) under uncultured bacterium. Its description in RNAcentral is "partial 16S ribosomal RNA". It matches the Rfam family "Bacterial small subunit ribosomal RNA", at positions 28 to 523 of the family's 1533-position model. The record is from RNAcentral.